GAUUUCUGGCUUGAAACAUGUUGCCGGCCACGGUUUCGUGUGUUAGUGCUGCAUGUUCUGGCCAUCCUUCCAAUCGCUACUUACUAUUCUUCAUUGAUUGGUAAGUGGUAUUGGAUCUUUUACUUUGAAAAAAUUAGAGUGUUUAAAGCAGGCUUUAUGCUAUGAAUACAUUAGCAUGGAAUAAUAAUUUAGGACUUCGGUUCUAUUUUGUUGGUUUCUAGGACUGAAGUAAUGAUUGAUAGGGACAGUUGGGGGUGCUAGUAUUCAGCGGCCAGAGGUGAAAUUCUCGGAUUCGCUGAAGACUAACUUAUGCGAAAGCAUU
RNAcentral lists this ribosomal RNA (322 nucleotides) under uncultured Sandonidae. Its description in RNAcentral is "SSU rRNA". It matches the Rfam family "Eukaryotic small subunit ribosomal RNA", at positions 634 to 955 of the family's 1831-position model. Lineage: Eukaryota; Cercozoa; Glissomonadida; Viridiraptoridae. The record is from RNAcentral.